This 1243-nucleotide long non-coding RNA is filed under the name Gallus gallus (chicken). RNAcentral describes it as "lncRNA (ENSGALG00010027779.1)". The record is from RNAcentral. Lineage: Eukaryota; Metazoa; Chordata; Aves; Galliformes; Phasianidae.
CACAUCCCAACCCCUGCAUGGGGAGGAGGAGGAGGAGGAGGAGCAGAGAUUUCGGUGCACUGUGAGCAUUGCAUGGAUGCAAAGCAAAGCCCAGCCCGGUAAUUGCAGGGCUAUGGGACAGGCUCUGUCCAGCUGCUUCGUAAAGACAUUUUUUAAGGGCUCGAGGAAAGUGACAUUAUUAAAGUGAGCAUGCUGAUUCCAGACAGCUCCCAAUUCAUCACCGUGACAGUGACAAACACGGCCUGGGGUUAUGCAGUUGACUAAAGAGAAUUCUCGAGCUUUACAUUUUUAAUGCUCCUCGCAUUUUCUCUGCUGCAGCAGAGUUUUAUCCAAAGGAUCUUCUCCCCUGAAUAGAAAGGGCAGCGUGGGGCUGUGAAGCAUGCCCGGCCCUUGCAAAUCAAGCAGGGUUUCUGUCAUCGCUGCCCAAGCUGGUUCAUUUAUUUUUUUAAUUAUUCCUUGCUCCUUCAGGAUCCUUUUUCCACCUUUUCAAGAAGAACAGGAGCUCCAGCCUCAGCUGGGCUGCCUCUAUUCUCUGGGGCUCAUUCAUCAUUGUCUGCUGCCUGAAUGGAAGGCAGAGGGUCAGCCUGAAAAGCCUCAGCGUUACAAACUCCUCCGGAUCUGUCAAUGGGUCCUUUCUGGGUGGGGGGGUCCUGGCAGCCCGACCGCCCAGAUGCUUUGUGUCUGCAGUGUGGGGACAAGGGUGGCACAGGGACAUGGGUGGCAUUGGGAUGUGGGUGGCACUGUGAUAUGGGUGGCACAGGGAUACGGGUGGCACAGGGAUGUGGGUGGCACAGGGAUGCAGUGGCAUGGGGCUGUGAGGGUGGGCACGAGGGGACCGAGCAGUGCUCAGCACAUCCUGCACAGACCCGUUCACCUGAUGGAUAACAGAUUGUUGGCCGUGGCGUUGCCAUGGUGGGGAGCCAGGCGAGGAUCUGGUGGUGCAUGGGGAUCCGGACUGAGUGCCUCAACCCAGGGGCUCCACCGUCCCCGUGGCGCUCAGCUCCAGCCCUUCUCUCCCAGAUCCCAUUCUUGGGCUCCUAACAAAAAGCAGUAGCACAAAGAGAGGCGCAGGGACCCACUGCUAUGCUGAGAGGCAUUCAGAGCCAGAGAGAGACUCAUUCAAGAGCCUGUUGUGGUUAUUUGUGAGCUCCAGAGGUAGCAGCAUUUCCUGUGGGGCUGCUCAGCAGGUACCCAGAUGGUUGGCAACAGCUGGGGAGGGGUGAGAGAAACAGAUUUUGCUCCU